CUCAGGUGCAAGGCAAUGGGAAUUUGAUAAAUGGGAGGAGGAAUACUCGAAUAUUCUAAGUGCCACUAAAGGACACACAGCAGUCAGACACUCCCAUAGAGACCUUGCAUUUCUGCUUCUGGCUAAGUUGCCAUCCAGAUACUCGGUUUCAUCUUUUUAUUAGAAAAGAAGAUAAGAUGCAGUUGCCCUUGGGAGAGGCACAUGCUUGCCUGGCACCUCCCACUGCUGCCAGAUGACCUUUAUUUGUGGAGUGGAGCAAACUGCAGUGCAGACUGUCAGAAGAAAACCUCACCAGGGCAUUCUUUCAAGGGGACUUUUUGUUUGGUUUGUUUCUCUUAAUCAAAGAAACCUAA
Molecule: long non-coding RNA, 353 nt
Organism: Motacilla alba alba
Lineage: Eukaryota; Metazoa; Chordata; Aves; Passeriformes; Motacillidae
Exons: 3
Source: RefSeq, a predicted model, not a curated record